RNAcentral lists this ribosomal RNA (253 nucleotides) under uncultured bacterium. RNAcentral's name for it is "partial 16S ribosomal RNA". It matches the Rfam family "Bacterial small subunit ribosomal RNA", at positions 524 to 776 of the family's 1533-position model. The record is from RNAcentral.
UACGUAGGUGGCGAGCGUUGUCCGGAAUUACUGGGUGUAAAGGGCGCGCAGGCGGGGGCAUAAGUCAGAUGUGAAAUACCGGGGCUUAACUUCGGGGCUGCAUCUGAAACUAUGUUUCUUGAGUGUCGGAGAGGAAAGUGGAAUUCCCAGUGUAGCGGUGAAAUGCGUAGAUAUUGGGAGGAACACCAGUGGCGAAGGCGACUUUCUGGACGAUAACUGACGCUGAGGCGCGAAAGCGUGGGGAGCAAACAGG